RNAcentral lists this unclassified non-coding RNA (785 nucleotides) under Hevea brasiliensis (rubber tree). Lineage: Eukaryota; Viridiplantae; Streptophyta; Magnoliopsida; Malpighiales; Euphorbiaceae. The record is from RNAcentral.
GCUCUAAUCCUCAACAUUAAUUCCUCAUCAUUUGAAGACAAUCAGAAAAAGUUGGUACUUUAUGGAUUCGGCCAUGUUCUUUCAACUUUGUCAACAUUUGAAGAAUCACAUCUUUUCCUUUGUGAAUUCUAAGUUAUUCCUUCACCUCUUAAGGAUACCUCCAUGUAUUCUCUGGAUCUUCUUUUUUCCGUGAAUUCAAAAGGCUGAAAUUCAAGAGCUUGUAUAAUCUGAACCGUCUCUUACUAAUAUUGAGGUAGUGGAACAGUGCUUUGGACCUCAAUGCAAAAGUCAUGCAGUUAGAUUUGGUGGUGGGAUAACCACUAAGGAGUUGAAAGGAGGUAGUACUUCUAAGGCUGUGUUGUUGGAAGAACUGAAAACAACUCAAAAAGAAAAGGAAUCACUGCAAUUGUGUAUUGAUAUUCUAGAGAGUAAAUAUGAUCGCCUUGAAAAUAUUGUGGUUCAUCAGCAUCCAUCACCUCCACUAUGUUAGGAAACUUUUCAUUAGCUAUGCCAUGAUGUGUAUUUCUCAAUGAAUUUAGUGAUGUCAUUAACAAGUGCUCAUCUUUGAUAAGGGUUUUGCUAAUGCAGUGGUCUGUCUUUCUAUGAUAAGUUGAUUUUAGAGAGUAGGCAGUCUUCAGUUGUACUACUUUCCAUGAUGAACGAGUUUACAUGCUUAUAGAAUUAUGUAUAUCUCUGUCUCAAUCAGGAUGUAUUCCUAUAUUCUGAACUGAGUUUCUUUUUUGCAUGUUCACCCUAGUAUUUGUGUUGCGUGUUAAAUCUCUAUU